UCUGCCCCAUGUCACGGAUUCACCGGCAAAGGAAAACCAAACCUAAUUCGCCAGUCGUGCCGUGAACAAGGGAGUAAAGAUAAACGCCAUGGCACAAGGAGCCGCACCCGGGUCAAGCCGUGCCUCUCCGCCUGGUCUCCCACCAGCCUACAUGCCGAAACCAGCCACCUCCGUCGUUUGUCCUCCGGGCCUUGAGUACCUGACAACCAUAGAUCAAGUUAUAAUAGUGCAACAAAAGGAAAUCCUCGAAGG
This 252-nucleotide long non-coding RNA is filed under the name Dermacentor andersoni. Its description in RNAcentral is "uncharacterized LOC126542392". The record is from RNAcentral. Lineage: Eukaryota; Metazoa; Arthropoda; Arachnida; Ixodida; Ixodidae.